GGGCAGCCAAGCAGGGAAUGGAUAAGCGCUGAAAGCAUCUAAGUGCGAAGCCAUCCCCAAGAUAAGAUCUGCGGUAGAUAAGACCCCUUGAAGACUACAAGGAAAUAGGCUGGGUAUGGAAGUUUCGUGAGAAAUGAAGUUGGCCAGUACUAAUCGGUCGAAAGCUUAAUCUA
This 173-nucleotide ribosomal RNA is filed under the name Erysipelotrichaceae bacterium RD49. RNAcentral describes it as "Bacterial large subunit ribosomal RNA". It matches the Rfam family "Bacterial large subunit ribosomal RNA", at positions 2743 to 2925 of the family's 2925-position model. The record is from Rfam by way of RNAcentral. Lineage: Bacteria; Bacillati; Bacillota; Erysipelotrichia; Erysipelotrichales; Erysipelotrichaceae.